This 72-nucleotide transfer RNA is filed under the name Ipomoea nil (Japanese morning glory). It matches the Rfam family "tRNA". Rfam says of the family: Transfer RNA (tRNA) molecules are approximately 80 nucleotides in length. Their secondary structure includes four short double-helical elements and three loops (D, anti-codon, and T loops). Lineage: Eukaryota; Viridiplantae; Streptophyta; Magnoliopsida; Solanales; Convolvulaceae. The record is from Rfam by way of RNAcentral.
GGAUCUAUGGUGCAAUGGUAGUGCAUCUAACUCUAGAUUAGAAGGUUGCGUGUUCGAUUCACGUUGGGUUCA